This 1090-nucleotide long non-coding RNA is filed under the name Equus caballus (horse). RNAcentral describes it as "lncRNA (ENSECAG00000060240.1)". The record is from RNAcentral. Lineage: Eukaryota; Metazoa; Chordata; Mammalia; Perissodactyla; Equidae.
GUCUAUGUCCUUAUUAAGAACUAAUUAAUCACAUGUGCACGCAGUUGUCUAAACAACCACGGACCAUCAGCUUUGGAGGCGUUAUUCAUGGGCAUCUGGCUGUAUCUCCUUAUCUUAGAGAGGAAGAAACUGACAUCCAGGAGAGCAAAGGUGACAGGUCCCAGAACACAGCUGGGUAGGGACCCAAAAGAGACUGGAACCCAGCUGAGCCGUUUAACAACUAAAAUCAGAAGAUGGACCUGGCUCCGUGUGUGCCGUGCCUGAGCACGUUAGUAACGAGCCACAGGAGAGAAGCUUGAUUCCAGACAGAAGAUGAUGCCUUCAACAGUUCAGAAGAUAACUUUGCCUCCUUUGCAGAAGUCUGACCCUUGUCCUGAGCAUCCAAUACUAAAAAAUAAAGUGAAGUAUAUGAUUAAAACUUGCGAUUACGUUGGUUCCAGCCAGUGUUGAAAGGAGCUGCAGUGCUGUGUUUGUUCGAUCUGAGAGGGUGAGCAAUCAGAGAUGACCACUGGAUUCUUUCUAGUGCAAACAGAAGUGAAUGCUCAGGGCUAUAAAGCUGAUCUCGGGUCCCUCUGAUUUAACAGAAACACGAUGAAGAUUUCCAGAAAAACGUAGUAAUUUACCUUCUCUGCAAGAGAUAUUCCUUUUACUGGCUUCAAAUUUUGGUGGCCACUGAAAGAACAAAGAAGGAUGAAGUUCUUUCCCAUGACUUUUAUUUAUAUAGGUCUUUACUGCUCGGGAAGUAUUAUCACGUGCUAUCUUGUUUGGAAUAUAAAAGAAAGUGGUGCAUACUGAAGCUAUUAAGAUGAGCUCUUGAUUCUAAAAUGACCCUGUCCCCCCAGGCUAGUGUUUCACAGACCUGAUGAUAUCCAGACAGUGCUGACCUCCGGACUCCACGAGAAGCCUUUUAACUAAUCAUUCCACCUUCAAUAGUCAAGCUGUCCAGAAGACUCGGAUUGAACUGAUCUGAAUAACUUUGGUUUUGGUUUCUUUGAAAACAUUUUCUUUUUGUCUCUUUGUGGAAAAUGAGCUCUUUUAAAUAGAUUUCCCUUUAUUGUUGAGAAUUAUGGGGAUGGUUAGAAAAGGAAAU